AUGAACGCUGGCGGCGUGCCUAAUACCUGCAAGUCGAGCGAACAGACGAGGAGCUUGCUCCUCUGACGUUAGCGGCGGACGGGUGAGUAACACGUGGAUAACCUACCUAUAAGACUGGGAUAACUUCGGGAAACCGGAGCUAAUACCGGAUAAUAUAUUGAACCGCAUGGUUCAAUAGUGAAAGACGGUUUUGCUGUCACUUAUAGAUGGAUCCGCGCCGCAUUAGCUAGUUGGUAAGGUAACGGCUUACCAAGGCGACGAUGCGUAGCCGACCUGAGAGGGUGAUCGGCCACACUGGAACUGGGACACGGUCCAGACUCCUACGGGAGGCAGCAGUAGGGAAUCUUCCGCAAUGGGCGAAAGCCUGACGGAGCAACGCCGCGUGAGUGAUGAAGGUCUUCGGAUCGUAAAACUCUGUUAUUAGGGAAGAACAAAUGUGUAAGUAACUAUGCACGUCUUGACGGUACCUAAUCAGAAAGCCACGGCUAACUACGUG
This 496-nucleotide ribosomal RNA is filed under the name uncultured bacterium. RNAcentral's name for it is "partial 16S ribosomal RNA". It matches the Rfam family "Bacterial small subunit ribosomal RNA", at positions 29 to 507 of the family's 1533-position model. The record is from RNAcentral.